AAUCAACGCUGGCGGCGUGCCUAACACAUGCAAGUCGAACGCGAAAGCCCCGCAAGGGGUGAGUAGAGUGGCAAACGGGUGAGUAACGCGUGGGUGAUCUACCUCUGAGUGGGGGAUAACCUUCCGAAAGGAGGGCUAAUACCGCAUCACAUUACGCUCUUAGAUGAGUGCGUAUCAAAGCUGGAACCCGCAAGGGUCUG
This 200-nucleotide ribosomal RNA is filed under the name uncultured bacterium. RNAcentral's name for it is "partial 16S ribosomal RNA". It matches the Rfam family "Bacterial small subunit ribosomal RNA", at positions 32 to 215 of the family's 1533-position model. The record is from RNAcentral.